UGAGACUGAUUGAGACUGUGUUGUUAGUUAUGAUUCGGAGUAAAUUGUUCACAGUAUUUUUCAGGCUUUGAUUUAUAACGAUCAAGAUAUUUGAAAUGGAAAGGAAAUAAUACAAUGAACAUGGCUUCGGUCAAGGUAGCAGUAAGAGUGAAACCCCCUUAAUAAAAGAUGUGUGAAGAUUUGGGUACUGAUGUGAUACAGGCAGCAUUUGAGGGUUACAAUGCCUGUAUUUUUGCUUCUGGUCAGACGGGAGCCAGUAAAUCCUACAGUAUGAUGGGACAGGAGGCCAGACUGAAAAAGCAUUUGGAACACAUCAACACAUCAUAGGGUUUGGAUGAGUCCAGUGUUUCCUAAACUUUCCAAGUUAUCUGGUGAAGAAUCUACAAACUAUUCACCAACUUAUUUUAUAGAGGAUUUAUUGGAAUAUUUGGCAGCAUAUGGGGGUAGUGCAGUAGAUGAAUGGAAGAAACAUAUUCAGGAACAUGAUAUGUCAUCUGCAAGGGUUCGCCUAAUAGCCUCUGUUCCUGGGAGACACACUGGAGUCAAUAAAACCAAAUGGGGCCAUCUUAAACUUGGUUCUUCACCCGCAUGGGCCUAGCUCUGAUGACAUCAGCUCCAAGUGGCCUGUGAUUGGUCAGUUUUCCAGCAUAGGUUCCCUUGGGAACGACAAGGACCAUUGGCUGUGUUCUGAAUGGUUACAAAGCUUGUCCACAUGUUCUGGUAACAUGAUGUCCAGUCCCCCUCUGCAUCUGGUUUUUCCAACAGUGGACAAUGUGCGGCACAGUUUGGAAGGUUACCCAGCUGGUGGCUCAAUACCAUACAGCUCCAAGACAGCUUUGAAACAGCCUUAUCUUUCAAGUUUCUUUUGCUCUUGGAAGUCUCAUUCCUGUGGUAGAAGUUGCACCUCUCCUCGCAUUAAAACAUACACCAGGGUAUCCCCAGAUUGGAGCCGCAUGAGCUGGUUUCUUGUGACAAGAAUCUCCUUGGAUGUGGGAUGUCAAAUACAACACACCUGAUGGUCAUGGUAGAAUAUGGUCACCAUCAUAAUCACUGCAGUCAGGGAAUCACUGGGUUAAAAUGGACACAGAGGAUGUCAGGGGGAGGGCAAAGGCAAAGGCAAAGGCCAUAUAUACCUUUAAAAGAAAUGAAACUCAGAUUUUGUUGACACUCACUUUAAAGAAAAUGUUAAUUUUUGAAAUACUCAUGUCUUAAAAAUCAUGUUUUGAUCAGAAUUUCAGGCUUGAGUCAUGCAAACCAAAAUAAAAAUAAUUCUCACAGA
Non-coding RNA from Pocillopora verrucosa, 1279 nucleotides. Lineage: Eukaryota; Metazoa; Cnidaria; Anthozoa; Scleractinia; Pocilloporidae. The record is from RefSeq and is a predicted model, not a curated record.